This 460-nucleotide ribosomal RNA is filed under the name uncultured bacterium. RNAcentral describes it as "partial 16S ribosomal RNA". It matches the Rfam family "Bacterial small subunit ribosomal RNA", at positions 338 to 795 of the family's 1533-position model. The record is from RNAcentral.
CCUACGGGAGGCUGCAGUGAGGAAUAUUGGUCAAUGGGCGUAAGCCUGAACCAGCCAAGUCGCGUGAGGGAUGAAGGUUCUAUGGAUCGUAAACCUCUUUUAUAAGGGAAUAAAGUGCGGGACGUGUCCCGUUUUGUAUGUACCUUAUGAAUAAGGAUCGGCUAACUCCGUGCCAGCAGCCGCGGUAAUACGGAGGAUCCGAGCGUUAUCCGGAUUUAUUGGGUUUAAAGGGUGCGUAGGCGGCCUUUUAAGUCAGCGGUGAAAGUCUGUGGCUCAACCAUGGAAUUGCCGUUGAAAGUGGGAGGUGUGAUUAUGUUUAAGGAAGGCGGAAUGGGUGGUGUAUGGGUGAAAUGCUUAGAUAUCACGCAGAACCCGGAUUGCGAAGGCAGCCUGACAAGCCAUGACUGACGCUGAUGCACGAAAGCGUGGGGAUCAAACAGGAUUAGAGACCCGUGUAGUC